AUGAACGCUGGCGGCGUGCCUAAUACAUGCAAGUCGAGCGAACAGAUGAGGAGCUUGCUCCUCUGACGUUAGCGGCGGACGGGUGAGUAACACGUGGAUAACCUACCUAUAAGACUGGGAUAACUUCGGGAAACCGGAGCUAAUACCGGAUAAUAUAUUGAACCGCAUGGUUCAAUAGUGAAAGACGGUUUUGCUGUCACUUAUAGAUGGAUCCGCGCCGCAUUAGCUAGUUGGUAAGGUAACGGCUUACCAAGGCAACGAUGCGUAGCCGACCUGAGAGGGUGAUCGGCCACACUGGAACUGAGACACGGUCCAGACUCCUACGGGAGGCAGCAGUAGGGAAUCUUCCGCAAUGGGCGAAAGCCUGACGGAGCAACGACGCGUGAGUGAUGAAGGUCUUCGGAUCGUAAAACUCUGUUAUUAGGGAAGAACAAAUGUGUAAGUAACUAUGCACGUCUUGACGGUACCUAAUCAGAAAGCCACGGCUAACUACGUG
RNAcentral lists this ribosomal RNA (496 nucleotides) under uncultured bacterium. RNAcentral describes it as "partial 16S ribosomal RNA". It matches the Rfam family "Bacterial small subunit ribosomal RNA", at positions 29 to 507 of the family's 1533-position model. The record is from RNAcentral.